CGAGUCAGCUGGGCAAUUGCUGUCUUUAGCUCUUCGUUUGUCGACUAUCGAUUUACGAGGAAAUCGACAGAGGAAAGUCCGGGCUCCAUAGAGCAGAGUGCCAGGUAACGCCUGGGGGGUGCAAACCCACGGCUAGUGCAGCAGAAAGUAUACCGCCUCCAAGCUUUCGGGCGCAGGGGUAAGGGUGAAAUGGUGCGGUAAGAGCGCACCGCGCGACUGGUAACAGUUCGUGGCAAGGUAAACCCCACUCGGAGCAAGGCCAAAUAGGAAUCCAUGGAUGCUGCUCGCAUUGGGUUCGGGUAGGCCGCUAAAGACCUGUGGCGACACAGGUCGUAGAUGAAUAAUUGUCCUCGACAGAACCCGGCUUAUAGGCUGGCUCGCUUU
This 384-nucleotide RNase P RNA is filed under the name Gammaproteobacteria bacterium. RNAcentral's name for it is "RNase P RNA component class A". It matches the Rfam family "Bacterial RNase P class A". Rfam says of the family: Ribonuclease P (RNase P) is a ubiquitous endoribonuclease, found in archaea, bacteria and eukarya as well as chloroplasts and mitochondria. Its best characterised activity is the generation of mature 5'-ends of tRNAs by cleaving the 5'-leader elements of precursor-tRNAs. Cellular RNase Ps are ribonucleoproteins. Lineage: Bacteria; Pseudomonadati; Pseudomonadota; Gammaproteobacteria. The record is from RNAcentral.